GUGAAAGGAGGCCUUUGCAAAAUAGAAAAAGUACUUUCAUUCCAGAGAGAGCCCUAGGAAUUAAAAAAAAGAGGAAUCUGCAAAGAAAAGCAGUAGGGGAGAGAGCUAAUACCACUAGUUUCAUUCUCAUAAGGGAAAGAGAGACAUUUUAGAAAAGAUCUAUUGUGUGAACUUGAAAACAAGAUGUAGGGUCAGAAAUGCUGUGGUGGCAGGUCCGUGGAGGAAGUAGCCAUCAAAUAAUAGCCUUGAUUGCAAGCCAGUGUUAAUUAGGCUUGUGGGGCCCUCAAUGAGCAAAGAAGAUUGAGCUCUAACCAUCAGUUCCCCACAUGAAGGUUUAUUGUAAUAUGAAAAAGUUAUUUAAAUUUCACUUCACGUUGUCCUUUUGAAUCCUCGCAUUAAUAAAAUCGUUUUCAGUGGAAAUAGCAGCAGCAAGAAAUAGAAAAUACUAACAGCAAGAUUUUUUUUUUAAUGCCCAUAAGAAGCAGCUUGGAAAUUGACACUCGGUUGCCAGGCACGUUUUACAGCUUUGCUCUUUACCAUGGAACAGAGAUAAUUUUCCUUAUGGAGAAUUUACAAGUUUCCAGAUGCAUUAUGCUGAAGAUAGCCAGGAUCCAGUACAAGGUUGGUGUCCCACUACAAAGCAAGGGCCUGCCACAACCAGAUGCAUGUUUCAACGACAUCGAAAGACUCACCUUGGACUCAUUGCUGACUUGUCAACCAGAACUCCAAUAUCUGAGUUUGUCAAGCAUUAGCAAAUGUCAUUUGGAGAAAAGAAAGGCAUGGGAUUUUAAAAAUAAUUGGAAAUCAGAAGAAUAAAACAAGGAAACAGAAAUAAGGAAGAGGAAGAAGAGGAGAAAGAGAAGAAGAGGAAAAAAGAUACGAAUUAAAGGUUUGUGAAAACAAAUGCCUAGGAAAGUUAAUUCUAGACAACCAAGCAGGUACAUCUCGAUGAGAGGGAGAGACUUGAAGAGGCAGCAAAGGUUAAAUGGACUAGAAGAAUUUCCUGGCACAAGUUUUGGGUUAUGAGAUGCUCUAUCUCUGGAUAUCAAUUUGGAUCCUUACAAUAUUAUUUUCAGAGCUACUUCACCAUGUUUUCACCUGUGGUUUUCAUGAAAUUUUGUGCUGACAUAUGGACUUAGUGAUCCAGAAAGUUGCCUGUGCCAUGGGAACUCUCAAAGGUCAUAUACAAGCACCAAGCAAACUGCGGGUGGGAUUGGGUAGAGGUGCUAAUGAACUGAGCUGACUUUCUGUGUUUUUUAGUAUAAUAAUGGUGGCUGUUCACCCCAGCAGAAAGUAACAGGAACUCUUAGCAUGCUGAAUUUAAUUCUAGAAUCUCAGGUGGUAAAAAGAAGAGGUCACAUAAUUAACUCUCAGUUAAUGGAAGAAGAACAGUGUCAUGAGUCAAAGAUUAUUUAAAAAUUGCUUAUAAAAAUGGGACUUUGGAAUGCACUCUUUGACUUCUUUGGCAGAGGAUUUACAUCUUAUUUGCUUUGCUUAAGCUAAUAGUAAAAUUAGUUUGUAGUCCUUCUCCAUUUGGAAGAUAUUUGGCAGCAGUUGGAUGAAAGGAGAGUAGGAGAAAAGGAAAGACAAGUAUAUGGGGAGAGAGAAGGAGUGGAGAAACAUGUUGGCUGGCUGGAAAGUCAGGCCAGGGUAAAAGCUUGCCACGUGUAACCUGUAUGGUGUAAACUCAUACAUGCACAAUGAAAAAUUAUAUAAUUAAAGGCACCAAGCCUGAUGGAAUCAGCAUUCAAUAAAUAUUUGUUGAAUGAAUAAAAAGAUUUUUUCUUUGCAUUUGAAGGAAGGAUUUCUUAUCUUAUUGGAAAUCUGCAAAUGGUUUCUUCAGCAUUUUUAUUGGAUGCUGUCUUGGGAAGAAGGCACAGAGAUCCUCUUCCCAUGCUUUUUAUCUUCCUCUCAUUACUCUUCAGAUUGACCCUGAAAU
Pan paniscus (pygmy chimpanzee) is the source of this 1939-nucleotide long non-coding RNA. Lineage: Eukaryota; Metazoa; Chordata; Mammalia; Primates; Hominidae. The record is from Ensembl.